RNAcentral lists this transfer RNA (73 nucleotides) under Cavia porcellus (domestic guinea pig). It matches the Rfam family "tRNA". Rfam says of the family: Transfer RNA (tRNA) molecules are approximately 80 nucleotides in length. Their secondary structure includes four short double-helical elements and three loops (D, anti-codon, and T loops). Further hydrogen bonds mediate the characteristic L-shaped molecular structure. tRNAs have two regions of fundamental functional importance: the anti-codon, which is responsible for specific mRNA codon recognition, and the 3' end, to which the tRNAs corresponding amino acid is attached (by aminoacyl-tRNA synthetases). tRNAs cope with the degeneracy of the genetic code in two manners: having more than one tRNA (with a specific anti-codon) for a particular amino acid; and 'wobble' base-pairing, i.e. permitting non-standard base-pairing at the 3rd anti-codon position. Lineage: Eukaryota; Metazoa; Chordata; Mammalia; Rodentia; Caviidae. The record is from Rfam by way of RNAcentral.
GGGGAUAUAGCUCAGUGGCGUAAGUGCCUACCUGGUAAGUACAAGGUCCUGAGUUCAAUUCCUGGUAGCCCCC